Transfer RNA from Nicotiana attenuata, 72 nucleotides. It matches the Rfam family "tRNA". Rfam says of the family: Transfer RNA (tRNA) molecules are approximately 80 nucleotides in length. Their secondary structure includes four short double-helical elements and three loops (D, anti-codon, and T loops). Further hydrogen bonds mediate the characteristic L-shaped molecular structure. tRNAs have two regions of fundamental functional importance: the anti-codon, which is responsible for specific mRNA codon recognition, and the 3' end, to which the tRNAs corresponding amino acid is attached (by aminoacyl-tRNA synthetases). tRNAs cope with the degeneracy of the genetic code in two manners: having more than one tRNA (with a specific anti-codon) for a particular amino acid; and 'wobble' base-pairing, i.e. permitting non-standard base-pairing at the 3rd anti-codon position. Lineage: Eukaryota; Viridiplantae; Streptophyta; Magnoliopsida; Solanales; Solanaceae. The record is from Rfam.
GCGUCUAUAGUCCAACGAUUAGGAUAAUUGCCUUCCAAGCAACAGACCCGGGUUGGACCCCAGGCAGACGCA